AUUGAACGCUGGCGGCAUGCUUUACACAUGCAAGUCGAACGGUAACAGGCCGCAAGGUGCUGACGAGUGGCGAACGGGUGAGUAAUGCAUCGGAACGUGCCCAGUCGUGGGGGAUAACGCAGCGAAAGCUGUGCUAAUACCGCAUACGAUCUAUGGAUGAAAGCGGGGGACCGUAAGGCCUCGCGCGAUUGGAGCGGCCGAUGUCAGAUUAGGUAGUUGGGGGGGUAAAGGCUCACCAAGGCAACGAUCUGUAGCUGGUCUGAGAGGACGAACAGCCACACUGGGACUGAGCCACGGCCCAGACUCCUACGGGAGGCAGCAGUGGGGAAUUUUGGACAAUGGGCGCAAGCCUGAUCCAGAAAUGCGGCGUGCAGGAAGAAGGCCUUCGGGUUGUAAACUGCUUUUGUACGGAACGAAAAGGUUUGGGUUAAUACCCUGGGCCGAUGACGGUACCGUAAGAAUAAGCACCGGCUAACUACGUGCCAGCCGCCGCGGUAA
Molecule: ribosomal RNA, 498 nt
Filed under: uncultured bacterium
Lineage: Bacteria
Description: partial 16S ribosomal RNA
Rfam family: Bacterial small subunit ribosomal RNA
Source: RNAcentral